This 330-nucleotide ribosomal RNA is filed under the name uncultured eukaryote. Its description in RNAcentral is "partial 18S ribosomal RNA". It matches the Rfam family "Eukaryotic small subunit ribosomal RNA", at positions 1470 to 1796 of the family's 1831-position model. The record is from RNAcentral.
CCCUUAGAUGUCCUGGGCUGCACGCGCGCUACACUGAUGUGUCCAGUAAGCACCUAACCUCUUCCGAAAGGAACGGGUAACCUUUGCAAAGCACAUCGUGAUGGGGAUAGAUUAUUGCAAUUAUUAGUCUUGAACGAGGAAUUCCUAGUAAGCACAAGUCAUCAGCUUGUGUUGAUUACGUCCCUGCCCUUUGUACACACCGCCCGUCGCUCCUACCGAUUGAAUGGUUUAGUGAGGCCUUCUGACUGGCGCCGCUACUCUGGCAACAGAGCGGCGGAUGCCGGGAAGUUGGUCAAACUUGAUCAUUUAGAGGAAGUAAAAGUCGUAACA